This 470-nucleotide ribosomal RNA is filed under the name uncultured bacterium. Its description in RNAcentral is "partial 16S ribosomal RNA". It matches the Rfam family "Bacterial small subunit ribosomal RNA", at positions 28 to 523 of the family's 1533-position model. The record is from RNAcentral.
GACGAACGCUGGCGGCGUGCCUAACACAUGCAAAUCGAGCGAAGGACUUCGGUUCUUAGCGGCGGACGGGUGAGUAACACGUGGGUAACCUGCCUCAAAGAGGGGGAUAGCCUCCCGAAAGGGAGAUUAAUACCGCAUAAUAUUAGAUCUUCACAUGGAGAUUUAAUUAAAGGAGUAAUCCGCUUUGAGAUGGGCCCGCGGCGCAUUAGCUAGUUGGUGAGGUAACGGCUCACCAAGGCGACGAUGCGUAGCCGACCUGAGAGGGUGAUCGGCCACAUUGGAACUGGGACACGGUCCAGACUCCUACGGGAGGCAGCAGUGGGGAAUAUUGCACAAUGGGCGAAAGCCUGAUGCAGCAACGCCGCGUGAGUGAUGAAGGCCUUCGGGUUGUAAAACUCUGUCUUUGGGGACGAUAAUGACGGUACCCAAGGAGGAAGCCACGGCUAACUACGUGCCAGCAGCCGCCGUAA